UCUAAGCCUCAAAAACAAUGAAACAAACAAACAAGGGGGAAAAAAAGCAAGCACUGUUCAGAUUUAUCAGUGGCUAGGCUGAAUAUAAGGAAAUGAUUAAGAAAUAGCUGGCAAUGGUUACGUCCUGACUAAAAUCUGGAGUAAAGAUUAAGAGUGCAAGAGUCUCACUCUCUGAAAGCUUUUGGGUGCUGCAUAAGUCACAUCUACUAUAUCGAAUGGACACAGCUCAAUUCCUAGACUGUAAGAUCCAAAAGUCUUGUUGGGAUAAUUUAGUUUGCUUUCUGCACACCUGUGGUCAGAAAUUUUCUCCAGAGAAGCACAGAAUUACAGGAAGAAGUGGAUUUGCAACAGAGAGUGGUUGUGGCUGUAGAAGGUGUUGAGAGCUGUUGUAAGCACUCCCAAAGUUUAACCAGGAUGAACCACCUCAGUGUCACAGUUUCUUUUCACAGGACAAGUGCUCCAGACCCCUGAGCAUCCUGCAGACCCUCUGCUGAACUCACACCAAAAAUGAUGCAGUACUCUGGAUACAAUCUAUUGAGUACUGAGAUGAGGGGAAUAAUCAUGUCCAUCAACCUACUGGCUGUACUUCUGUUCAUAUAGCCUAGGAUGUUUUUGGCCCUUCUGCUGGCAGGGCUCAGCUCACUGACCAUCAGGACCCUGAGAACCUUUUCUGCAGGGCUUCUUCCUAGUCAGUGUCCACCCAGCCUGGAUUGCUGUGAGAGCUGAGUAUGUUUGUACAUAAUCAGUUAUCCUCUUGUGCCUUUAAGAUGGCAGUCUGUGGCAAGACUUAUUCUUUUCUACCUUUUUUAUUUUUUUUCCUAGAAUAGCUAAUCUUAGAUUUGGCCUAUUUGUUUUUGAUUUUUUUUGCCUAUUGACUGACUU
Long non-coding RNA from Neopelma chrysocephalum (saffron-crested tyrant-manakin), 882 nucleotides. RefSeq lists it as uncharacterized. The record is from RefSeq and is a predicted model, not a curated record. Lineage: Eukaryota; Metazoa; Chordata; Aves; Passeriformes; Pipridae. The transcript is spliced from 3 exons.